Long non-coding RNA from Gallus gallus (chicken), 2455 nucleotides. The record is from Ensembl. NCBI's taxonomy places the organism in Eukaryota, Metazoa, Chordata, Aves, Galliformes, Phasianidae.
CUGCCACUUCACCGCCUCCCCCACCAUUCCUCCUGUAAGUUUUGAUGUUUGUUCAUCCUUGUUUUCCUUUCCACAUUCUUCUCAUACUGUAUUCACAGCAAAUGUGAGGCUAGCUGGGUCUUGAUUAAACUCUUGCAGGCUUAGAGAAAGCUCUUUUAAACCCUGAAUGGUAUCAUUUAUCUUAGACUUCUAGCUCUGGAAGAAAUCAAUCAUUCGAGCUCUGCUCAGGAAAAUGAUGUGGAAUGUAAAGUGUUCUGCCCUUGUAACCAGCACGGUGGAGCCGCAGGACAUGUUGGAAAUGACACAAUGAACCACUGUGUGCUCUUAUUUGCAGAGUACCCGGACAUAAUCAUGUGGGAAGGAGUGCAGAAGCUUUGCAUUUCCUGGAAACAUUCUCAUCCGAGGGCAGCUGUCAGUUCUUUAGCAAAAGAGGUGGCUGAAGGACAGAGGGAGAAACCUAUGAGGAACAAAAGCAUCCAAGGAGCAGCCAGCAUGAUGGACUACGGUAAUUAGGAAGCUCUAAGACCUGUCUAACAUUUUAGGAGAACAAACUGAACUCUGGGCAGUGCCAGGCACAGGGUGUGUGAACCAGGCAUGAAGCCAUCCACGCCCAACAUUCCACAGCCACCCCUCCAGCCUCUGCCCAGCAAGCUGCACAACAGCCCCAGCACCAACUGGUAAACCAGAAGGUUUGAGAAGGGUCUGUCAAUGAAGUGCCGUGCAAACGGAUGGAUACAAAUUCUCUUCACUUGUGCUCUUUUAAGCACAUGUGCAUUGCAGGUCUCUUUUGACAUCUCAGGAUAACGGAUAUACUGUAAAUAAGCACUAAUUUUAAGUCUUGAUUACUUUAUGUUCUUGAGCUACAAACUUGUUGAUGGUGUUUUCAGAGCUAUUCAAGAACUCCCUUUUCUUCCUUCUCCAUCCUCACGCAGCACAAUUCUCCAUUUUCUUUUUGAGUCACUCCCUCUUGCUCCUUUCUUCGAUUAUUUUAUUCUCCAAGACUUUGGCAAAAGUUAUCAUUCCUGAGAGAGCACCCAUGGUGCAGGAACUAUUUGAUUGCAUUAGAGAGAUGGGCUGAGAUUAAUGUAAACCACAGAGAGUGGAUUAGGAGAACAAUGAAAAAACUCUAAUGAGGUUUGCACAGCCUAGUUCACUUGAGGAGCAAAUUUCUUGACACUUCCCCUUGGAGUUCAAGAUGACACUUUAAUCUCACUAUUAAAAACAUGACCUAAGGAUCGACCAGGGUGGAGCAUGGGAAACAAUGUCCUUUUAAUUGUCUACUCUGGAGUAACAAUCUACUUAUGAUAUAACAGCCCUUGCCGUCUGGCUCCAGGCGAGUCAUACUCCCUUUGAGAGGGUUCUGAGAAAUGUUACUUUCAGUAGGUGGUACAUGACCAAAUUCCAGCUCUUAUCUUGGUUUCAGCAUGUGUGCAGUGAGAGGGACAGGCUUUUCUCAGAUCUCACCAGCCAAAUUACUUCUCAGGGCAUACCCAGGGCUUUCUCAGGGUUGCGUCAGUCUUCCCGCAGAAUGUUAAUAGUGCCCCUUCUAACAGUGUAGAUAGAGUUUGAGGCUGCUUGUGAUCUCCCAGAAAACUCACAGUGUUCCUCAUUUAUCUGUUCUGCAUUUUCUUUACCCAGAUUGUUCUAUCUCACUCUGCGGAGGAAUCACUUUCAGUUUCAUCAGCUGUCUGAUUGCUCUGUAUAGGCUCUGUUUCUGCCAUCUGAAAGAACCCAGAGCACAACAUCACUAGGUAGGAUGUGCUUCAGUGCUCAGCCAGGCCCAGGGGGCCUCUCAGCAGGACGUGCCUGGGACACAGGUAACAAAUGGAUGUUCUCUGUCCUCUGGAGGAAACGUGUCUACACCAGAGGCCACGCUUUCAAGCUGUUGGAGACACACAGCUGUCAAUUUCUCCCUCAACAACCACCACAAACACAAUUAUGGCUGACUGAACUUAGGAUUUUUAAAAUCCCUAUUGUUAGUAAAACUAAAGAUUGAUGUGAAUGGGGGUUGGCAUUACCUUCUACAUGCCAAAGACAAAGGAUUAUCACGCAUGAUUGACUCUUUUGUGACUUCCUGAAAAAAAAAAAAAACUUUCUUACACUUAGCAAAUGUCAAGACUAGGAAAGUUAGUCUCAGGUUUGUCACUAAUGAAAUGGCCUCAGCUCAGUGCCCUUGCUGAGUUUUUGAAGCUUUGUUCCUCGAGUCAAGUAAAUGAUGCACCAGGAAGGUGUAGAUGCGUGUGAUGUGCAUCAGGGCAGAGCGGUGGUUGGAUGCACGUGAAUGACAGGCUAAGCACAGCUGCAUGGGUUUCCAGCCGCUUGGGCUGCCUAUAGAUCAUACUUCGUGUAGGUUUCAUUGUGUUGGGUUUUCAAAAGCGCUCUGAAGCAAUGGACCCGUCCAGAGCCACGGCACCACAGCCAGCGGUGGUUCUGUCACAUGCCCUAAACAUUUUGC